UGGGGAAUAUUGCACAAUGGGCGCAAGCCUGAUGCAGCCAUGCCGCGUGUAUGAAGAAGGCCUUCGGGUUGUAAAGUACUUUCAGCGGGGAGGAAGGCGACAGGGUUAAUAACUCUGUCGAUUGACGUUACCCGCAGAAGAAGCACCGGCUAACUCCGUGCCAGCAGCCGCGGUAAUACGGAGGGUGCAAGCGUUAAUCGGAAUUACUGGGCGUAAAGCGCACGCAGGCGGUCUGUUAAGUCAGAUGUGAAAUCCCCGGGCUUAACCUGGGAACUGCAUUUGAAACUGGCAGGCUUGAGUCUUGUAGAGGGGGGUAGAAUUCCAGGUGUAGCGGUGAAAUGCGUAGAGAUCUGGAGGAAUACCGGUGGCGAAGGCGGCCCCCUGGACAAAGACUGACGCUCAGGUGCGAAAGCGUGGGGAGCAAACA
RNAcentral lists this ribosomal RNA (427 nucleotides) under uncultured bacterium. Its description in RNAcentral is "partial 16S ribosomal RNA". It matches the Rfam family "Bacterial small subunit ribosomal RNA", at positions 355 to 774 of the family's 1533-position model. RNAcentral also lists the same sequence under 1 other name. The record is from RNAcentral.